ACUCCUACGGGAGGCAGCAGUAGGGAAUCUUCCGCAAUGGGCGAAAGCCUGACGGAGCAACGCCGCGUGAGUGUAUGAAGGUUUUACGGAUCGUAAAACUCUGUUAUUAGGGAAGAACAAACGUGUAAGUAACUGUGCACGUCUUGACGGUACCUAAUCAGAAAGCCACGGCUAACUACGUGCCAGCAGCCGCGGUAAUACGUAGGUGGCAAGCGUUAUCCGGAAUUAUUGGGCGUAAAGCGCGCGUAGGCGGUUUUUAAGUCUGAUGUGAAAGCCCACGGCUCAACCGUGGAGGGUCAUUGGAAACUGGAAAACUUGAGUGCAGAAGAGGAAAGUGGAAUUCCAUGUGUAGCGGUGAAAUGCGCAGAGAUAUGGAGGAACACCAGUGGCGAAGGCGACUUUCNGGUCUGUAACUGACGCUGAUGUGCGAAAGCGUGGGGAUCAAACAGGAUUAGAUACCCUGGUAGGAUAGCGU
This 475-nucleotide ribosomal RNA is filed under the name uncultured bacterium. RNAcentral describes it as "bacterial SSU rRNA". It matches the Rfam family "Bacterial small subunit ribosomal RNA", at positions 335 to 800 of the family's 1533-position model. The record is from RNAcentral.